Molecule: ribosomal RNA, 497 nt
Filed under: uncultured bacterium
Lineage: Bacteria
Description: partial 16S ribosomal RNA
Rfam family: Bacterial small subunit ribosomal RNA
Source: RNAcentral
GAUGAACGCUGGCGGCGUGCCUAAUACAUGCAAGUCGAGCGAACGGACGAGAAGCUUGCUUCUCUGAUGUUAGCGGCGGAAGGGUGAGUAACACGUGGAUAACCUACCUAUAAGACUGGGAUAACUUCGGGAAACCGGAGCUAAUACCGGAUAAUAUUUUGAACCGAAUGGUUCAAAAGUGAAAGACGGUCUUGCUGUCACUUAUAGAUGGAUCCGCGCUGCAUUAGCUAGUUGCUAAGGUAACGGCUUACCAAGGCAACGAUGCAUAGCCGACCUGAGAGGGUGAUCGCACACACUGGAACUGAGACACAGUCCAGACUCCAACGGGAAGCAGCAGUAGGGAAUCUUCCGCGAUGGGCGAAAGCCUGACGGAACAACGCCGCGUGAGUGAUGAAGGUCUUCGGAUCGUAAAACUCUGUUAUUAGGUAAGAACAUAUGUGUAAGUAACUGUGCACAUCUUGACGGUACCUAAUCAGAAAGCCACGGCUAACUACGUG